This 258-nucleotide ribosomal RNA is filed under the name uncultured Chloroflexota bacterium. RNAcentral's name for it is "uncultured Chloroflexi bacterium partial 16S ribosomal RNA". It matches the Rfam family "Bacterial small subunit ribosomal RNA", at positions 1105 to 1382 of the family's 1533-position model. Lineage: Bacteria; Bacillati; Chloroflexota. The record is from RNAcentral.
UCGUCGCUAGUAUUUUUCUCUAGCGAUACUGCCCGUAUAACGUGGAGGAAGUGGGAUGACGUCAAGUCAGCAUGGCCCUUACAUCCUGGGCUACACACACGCUACAAUGGGUGAUACAACAGGUUGCAAUAGAGUAAUCUGGAGCCUAAUCCCCAAAAUCAUCCUCAGUACGGAUUGCAGGCUGCAACUGCCUGCAUGAAGUUGGAGUUGCUAGUAAACGCAGGUCAGCACACUGCGUUGAAUACGUUCUCGGGCCUU